UACGUAGGGUCCGAGCGUUGUCCGGAAUUACUGGGCGUAAAGAGCUCGUAGGUGGUUUGUCGCGUUGUUCGUGAAAACUCACAGCUCAACUGUGGGCGUGCGGGCGAUACGGGCAGACUGGAGUACUGCAGGGGAGACUGGAAUUCCUGGUGUAGCGGUGGAAUGCGCAGAUAUCAGGAAGAACACCCGUGGCGAAGGCGGCUCUCUGGGACGGUACUGACGCUGAGACGCGAAAGCGUGGGGAGCGAACAGG
This 253-nucleotide ribosomal RNA is filed under the name uncultured bacterium. RNAcentral describes it as "partial 16S ribosomal RNA". It matches the Rfam family "Bacterial small subunit ribosomal RNA", at positions 524 to 776 of the family's 1533-position model. The record is from RNAcentral.